AUACGUAGGUGACAAGCGUUAUCCGGAAUUACUGGGCGUAAAGGGUGCGUAGGUGGUUUCUUAAGUCAGAAGUGAAAGGCUACGGCUCAACCGUAGUAAGCUUUUGAAACUAAGAGACUUGAGUGCAGGAGAGGAGAGUAGAAUUCCUAGUGUAGCGGUGAAAUGCGUAGAUAUUAGGAGGAAUACCAGUUGCGAAGGCGGCUCUCUGGGCUGUAACUGACACUGAGGCACGAAAGCGUGGGGAGCAAACAGGAUUAGAUACCCUGGUAGUCCACGCCGUAAACGAUGAGUACUAGCUGUCGGGGGUUACCCCCCUCGGUGGCGCAGCUAACGCAUUAAGUACUCCGCCUGGGAAGUACGCUCGCAAGAGUGAAACUCAAAUGAAUUGACGGGG
RNAcentral lists this ribosomal RNA (394 nucleotides) under uncultured bacterium. RNAcentral's name for it is "partial 16S ribosomal RNA". It matches the Rfam family "Bacterial small subunit ribosomal RNA", at positions 523 to 918 of the family's 1533-position model. The record is from RNAcentral.